This 305-nucleotide ribosomal RNA is filed under the name uncultured bacterium. RNAcentral describes it as "bacterial SSU rRNA". It matches the Rfam family "Bacterial small subunit ribosomal RNA", at positions 337 to 659 of the family's 1533-position model. The record is from RNAcentral.
UCCUACGGGGCGCAGCAGUGGGGGAUAUUGGACAAUGGGGGAAACCCUGAUCCAGCGAUGCCGCGUGAGGGAAGAAGGUUUUCGGAUUGUAAACCUCUGUGGAGGGGGACGAUAAUGACGGUACCCCUUUAGGAAGCCACGGCUAACUACGUGCCAGCAGCCGCGGUAAUACGUAGGUGGCGAGCGUUGUCCGGAAUUACUGGGUGUAAAGGGAGCGUAGACGGCAGCGCAAGUCUGGAGUGAAAUGCCGGGGCCCAACCCCGGAACUGCUUUGGAAACUGUGCGGCUCGAGUGCGGGAGAGGAA